GACCACACGAAUACAGUUUAAUCGCCAUGGAGCCAAAGUCUUUACACAGUCAGUUUCAUGCGAAUGGGCUCCAUGGGAUUCCUAUCUGGGGUAUAACAUAGACAGGUAAAACUACCGAACACCGGCCGUUCGUGUACUUCCACCGAACAAGAAGGGAGGUCGGCGGCUUCAGCGGUGUUCGCGUAAAACUGUGCCCGAUUUUAGUUCCAUGAAUUAAG
Non-coding RNA from Pelobates cultripes (western spadefoot toad), 218 nucleotides. The record is from the annotation of a GenBank genome assembly. NCBI's taxonomy places the organism in Eukaryota, Metazoa, Chordata, Amphibia, Anura, Pelobatidae.